AAAAAUUAUAAUAAUAAUUAUUAUAAUAUUAUUAUUAUAAAGAAAUUGAAAACUUAAACAUUCCUCCAUUCAUCAGUAUAGCGAAUACGGUUUACUCCCCAUUCUCAAAUCUCAACGUUAGCUCUCCAAAACCCUAAAUUCUCAUCAUUUUGACAGCCUAAUCUAGUGUUUCAUUGAAAUUUGUUCUUGAUUUCUUCGUUCAAAGUCACAAUUAUGUCGUCAACUGUUCUUCAUUACUUCUCUAGGGUUCACGACUAUUCAAUUUUGGUGUGUUGUUUUGGGUAAGUUUUGUAUUUUUGUUCUUGACACUGUCAUGUUGUGUGAUUGAGUGGGGAUUUUGUGAUUCAACAAGACCCAUAUCACAUUCACUUCAACCUCAGCAUUGAGAUGUGAAUGAGCUUUCCCUAUUUCAAUUCAAGGAGAUUCCAAGAGUAUUAGCUUGAAAUUCUUUAUGGAAGAACUGGUGAUCGUUUGGUGGAGUUCUCUGUUCUGCGGGUCAACAAGCUAAUGAAAUUUUCCAGGGAACUCAACCAAAGCUCUCCGGAAACAAGAUCAUGCUGACUAUUUUACUAGGUGACUUCUCUUAUGCCAUUAGAAAUAGGUGAAAACUACAUUACCAGUACCUUUUUGGAUUCAGAAACUUGCAUCACUCUUAGCUUGGUACCACUUCUCUCUGGAUGGACUUGUGAAUCAUAAUUUGCAAUAAUGAUCGAAAGAAAAACCAUUAUCAGCAGCCAGAACUAUGAGAAGCAAAGAAUGGAAGCAUUCAGCCUCUUACACCAGAUAAUAAUGUGUUCCUGCAGACAAAAAGCUAAUACAAAAUUUGUCCAGCUUUUUCCAUACUGCCACAAAACGGUAUAAUUCCUAUAUAAUUCAGAUGAUCUAAUUUCUGCCUUCAAACUGAUUAUUUCAACUAAUAUAGUAGUUGCGUAUUAUUACAAACUGGUGCAACCAGGAUAUUUAGAUAUGUGGUUGUAGUAUGUAGAGUUUAAAUUCUAUGAAUAAGUUGGAGGUAAGGUAUAUGUCCCCCUCCUUGUAUUUUGACAUGUUAAUGAAAUUUGCAUUGGGGUCUCUAAUGUUGGAACCUU
Long non-coding RNA from Lycium barbarum (goji berry), 1088 nucleotides. RefSeq lists it as uncharacterized. The record is from RefSeq and is a predicted model, not a curated record. The transcript has 4 exons. Lineage: Eukaryota; Viridiplantae; Streptophyta; Magnoliopsida; Solanales; Solanaceae.